RNAcentral lists this ribosomal RNA (465 nucleotides) under uncultured bacterium. RNAcentral describes it as "partial 16S ribosomal RNA". It matches the Rfam family "Bacterial small subunit ribosomal RNA", at positions 338 to 795 of the family's 1533-position model. The record is from RNAcentral.
CCUACGGGUGGCAGCAGUAGGGAAUCUUCCACAAUGGGCGAAAGCCUGAUGGAGCAACGCCGCGUGGGUGAAGAAGGUCUUCUGAGCGUAAAACCCUGUUUUUAGAGAAGAAAGUUCGUGAGAGUAACUGUUCACGUUUCUACGUUAUCUAUCCGGAAAGGCACGGCUAACGACGUGCCAGCAGCCGCGGUAAGACGUAGGUGGCAAGCGUUAUCCGGAUUUAUUGGGCGUAAAGGGAACGCAGGCGGUCUGUUAAGUCUGAUGUGAAAGCCUUCGGCUUAACCGGAGUAGUGCAUUGGAUACUGGGAGACUUGAGUGCAGAAGAGGAGAGUGGAAUUCGAUGUGUAGCGGUGAAAUGCGUAGAUAUAUGGAAGAACACCGGUGGCGAAGGCGGCUCUCUGGUCUGUAACUGACGCUGAGGUUCGAAAGCGUGGGUAGCAAACAGGAUUAGAUACCCCGGUAGUC